CCUACGGGGGGCUGCAGUCGAGGAUCUUUAGCAAUGCCCGAAAGGGUGACUAUGCGACGCCGCGUGUGGGAUGAAGGCCUUCGGGUCGUAAACCACUGUCAGGGAGGAAGAAACCUUACGUGUUAACAGCGCGUAAGCUGACAUCACUCCCAAAGGAAGCCACGGCUAACUCUGUGCCAGCAGCCGCGGUAAGACAGAGGUGGCAAGCGUUGUUCGGAUUUAUUGGGUGUAAAGGGUCCGUAGGUGGUCUAACAAGUCUGAUGUGAAAUCCCAUGGCUCAACCGUGGAACUGCAUUGGAAACUGUUGGACUUGAGUACCGCAGAGGUAAAGGGAAUUCCCGGUGUAAGGGUGAAAUCUGUAGAUAUCGGGAGGAACACCAGUGGCGAAGGCGCUUUACUGGGCGGUUACUGACACUGAGGGACGAAAGCGUGGGGAGCAAACAGGCUUAGAUACCCCAGUAGUC
Molecule: ribosomal RNA, 464 nt
Filed under: uncultured bacterium
Lineage: Bacteria
Description: bacterial SSU rRNA
Rfam family: Bacterial small subunit ribosomal RNA
Source: RNAcentral